CAGACUGCUCAGUAACGCGUGGUCAACUUACCCUAUGGAGGGGUACAACCUCGGGAAACUGAGGACGAUGCCCCAUAGUUGAGAAGGCUUGGAACAGUUUCUCAUCGAAAGAAUGUCAUAAAUGGUUGACUUUUCGCCAUAGGAUAGGACCGCGUUCGAUUAUGGUAGUUGGUGAGGUAACGGCUCACCAAGCCUAUAAUCGAUAAGGGCCGUGAGAGCGGUAGCCCUGAGAUGGGUACUGAGACAAGGACCCAGGCCCUACGGGGUGCAGCAGGCGCGAAACCUUCGCAAUGCGCGAAAGCGUGACGAGGCUACCCGGAGUGCUUUCUGAAGAAGAAAGCUGUUGUCAGUGUUUAACUAGCCUGACGAGUAAGGAGAGGGCAAGGCUGGUGCCAGCCGCCGCGGUAAAACCAGCUCUUCAAGUUGUCGGGACGAUUACUGGGCUUAAAGAGUCCGUAGCCGGUUUAGCAAGUCCUUGGUAAAAUCUGGCAGCUUAACUGUCAGUACGCUAGGGAAACUACUUUACUAGAGGGCGGGAAAGGUCUGGGGUACUUCAGGGGUAGGGGUGGAAUCCUAUAAUCCUUGGGGGACCACCAGUGGCGAAAGCGCCAGACUGGAACGCGCCUGACGGUGAGGGACGAAAGCCAGGGGAGCAAACC
This 659-nucleotide ribosomal RNA is filed under the name uncultured archaeon. RNAcentral's name for it is "bacterial SSU rRNA". It matches the Rfam family "Archaeal small subunit ribosomal RNA", at positions 82 to 725 of the family's 1478-position model. The record is from RNAcentral.